CUACGGGGGGCUCCAGUGAGGAAUAUUGCACAAUGGGGGGAACCCUGAUGCAGCAACGCCGCGUGGAGGAUGACGCAUUUCGGUGUGUAAACUCCUUUUAUAUGUCAAGAAAAUGACGGUAGCAUAUGAAUAAGCACCGGCUAACUCCGUGCAGCAGCCGCGGUAAUACGGAGGGUGCAAGCGUUACUCGGAAUCACUGGGCGUAAAGGACGCGUAGGCGGGUUGGAAAGUCAGGUGUGAAAUCCUACAGCUUAACUGUAGAACUGCACUUGAAACUUCUAAUCUAGAGUAUGGGAGGGGGAGGUGGAAUUAGGGGUGUAGGGGUAAAAUCCGUAGAUAUCACUAGGAAUACCUAAAGCGAAGGCGAUCUCCUGGAACAUUACUGACGCUAAGGCGUGAAAGCGUGGGGAGCAAACAGGAUUAGAUACCCGAGUAGUC
RNAcentral lists this ribosomal RNA (438 nucleotides) under uncultured bacterium. RNAcentral's name for it is "partial 16S ribosomal RNA". It matches the Rfam family "Bacterial small subunit ribosomal RNA", at positions 339 to 795 of the family's 1533-position model. The record is from RNAcentral.